Patella vulgata (common limpet) is the source of this 3773-nucleotide long non-coding RNA. RefSeq lists it as uncharacterized. The transcript is spliced from 2 exons. The record is from RefSeq and is a predicted model, not a curated record. Lineage: Eukaryota; Metazoa; Mollusca; Gastropoda; Patellidae.
ACCUUUAAAUUUGACAGGUAAAUGUCCAUUGAUUAAUUUGAAACCCUGUGAUUUUAAGCCUAUAAACUUGUACAACAAUAGGCUACUGUUUUUUAUCUGAAAAUGUACCGCAAUGUCAGGUACAAACAUGCCGAGUCAUAGUAUUUUUAUUUGAGCAUUAUUUGCAAAACUGGAACAUUUUAUGGAAACUGUGUCUUUCCCAGCCAUGCCCACCCACUCCCCUUCUGCUACAAGGAAUAUUGGUCUAAACAAACUAGCGUUGUACAGAAAUUUAGUUACAUCUUAUGAUUGCCUGAGAUGGGGAUUAUUAAUUAGUUCAUUAAUAUUAAAAUAGUCCCAGUAACAAUCCCCCAGAAUCUUAUUGCGGAUCGCUACAUUGUUUAUAUAUUUUUAGAUUUUCAUAAACCAUAUAUCUUUUUCAAAUAACAAUUUCUGUGGUUUAUUUCACUGUGAUGUUUCACAUAAUAAUAUGUCUUUUUGACUCUUUAAAGUUACAUUAUAUAAGAGCUAAAACAGCUUAUUGCAGAUAUUUCAUUUGACCUCUUAUGUUAUGUAAAUCAUUAAUUAGAUAUUUAUUCACAUGCCGGGGGGUUGGAUGGCUGAAUGGUUAGCGUGCACGUGCUGUAUCGUUAAGUCUGUCAUUGAGUCGACUGGCGUGGUUUCGAAUCCCCGGUUGUACGUGAUUCGAUGAUAUACAUGUAUCUAGAUUAAAAACAUAUUCAAACUAUGUAAUUUAUUAAACAUUUGCUUCAAAUCCCUCUUAAAACGGGGGGUUGGAUGGCUGAAUGGUUAGCGUGUGUGCAUUGUAUCAUAAAGUCUUUUAUUGAGUCAACCGGCGUGGUUUCGAUUCCCCAGUUGUACGUGACAAGGAGUAGGGUCGCCUGUCCAACCUCGUGGGUUUUCUCCGGGUCCUCCGGUUUUCUCCCACUGCUAAAGACCCCUAUGCGCAAGCGAAUUAUUGAAAUAAAAUUAAACCAUAUGUUAGUCCCGAAAUAACCUAGUUGUGUCGAGUGGACGUUAAACCCCAUUUCUCUCUCUCUCUCUCUAUUCACAUGCCAAGCCCAUCUAUAUCAUCAAAUGGUUUGUUUUCAAUAGAUAUAAACACGAUUGUCAGUUAAUAAUUUGAUUUAAAAUAGAAAGUUAGAUUUGUACUUGAAAAGGACAUCUGAAAUAUUGUCAAAACCGUUUUGUGUAAUUCUAGUAAUUUAUCCCCAAAUAACACAUUCUACAGUAGAUAUCGCUUAUGUGAUAACUUUCAUAUCUCUUUACAUGAAUUUGAUUUAUAUAUAAAGAAUUAUAUAUAUUUAUUUGUGCGUGUAAGAAAGGGUUGGGUGAUAAACAAAAUCUUCUACUCGUCUUUUUUGAUAUCAAAAAAAGACACGUAGGAGAUUCUCUGUAUAAUAAUAUAAGUUAAUUUGCUAAAUGCCUCUGAAGGAUUGUGUACGAAUGUAUGGGGUGUUCCCACUUUGCCGGCAGGCUUUGAUGUCAAAUUUUGCCGCUAACCCAGGGUUGAUCCUAGAAUAAUGGUGUUAUAAACUACAGUAUAGUCCAUAUCUUUUUUAAGAAUAAAAAUGUAUUGAUUUUAACAAAUUUAACUUUUAUUAAAUAACAUUAAAUAAUUUACACAUAUAAAAAUGUAUUGAUUUUAACAAAUUUAACAUUAUUAAAUAACAUUAAGUAAUUUACACAUAUAAAAAUGCAUUACAAUUUACACAUUUAACUUUUAUUAAAUAGCAUAAUAUAAUUUAUAAAUAAAUGCCUUACAACAUAACAAUCUUUUACAGCCCCAUUAAAUAAGAUAUAUUUAUAUUAAUAUAUUGAAUUGAAUUCAUGUUUGAAGGCAUAACGCGGACAUGAACUGUGUUCAAAAUGUCAUUAAUUAGUUGGUUAAUAAAUUUUAUUAAGAGGGAUUAAGAGCUCAUUAACGCUGAACACUAAUGGACGGUUCUUGAAUGACUACUUUUAAACAGAGAAUAGUUUUAAGAUCAAUUAUAGGAUUAACAGUCUGCCGGCAUAGUGGGACACACCGAAUGUAUUGCUUUAUUAUAUAUUUUUAAUACAUAAAAUAAUAAUGUAUUGAUAUGUACAUGUAUACAUUGUUAGGUAACCUUUACAUACUAAUGUAUUGUUAUGUAUCUUUACAUGUACAUGUAUUCAUGUAUUGUUAUGUAUCUUUUACAUGUAUCUGUUUAUGGAUCUUUUAUGUACGAAUAUAUUGGUUUAUGGAUCUUUUACAUGUUUCAGUUAUAUACCAGCUGUUUACUUAUCAGACUCCAUACGUUCAACAUUCACAAUGUAGACAGUAUUCAAACAUCAACACAAGCUUUUGUUGUCUAGACUCUAGAUACUGGAAGGGUUGGGGAUAGGUAGAAAACUGGUUUUGUAGUCCCUGCUGAUAAAUAAACCGCAUAGAAUUUUACCGCCUUUACCACCCACGCUACUAGUAACAUGAUAAUAUUUAUGGUUUAUACACAAAAAAAAAAAUAAUAAUAACAAACCAUAGGUAUAUCUGUUUCAAAUUCAUGUCAAUAAUAUUCCUGCAUAACUGUCGUUUAUUCGAUGUAUACUGACAGUGAAACGUCCAUGAUAACAAUAGUUCAUAAUGUCUAAACAUCCUUUAUCGUCUUUAUAACAGGGUAUUUUAAUUAUUACAUCGACUGCUUUUCUCAACUAAAGGGGGGGAUCACGGUGGCUAAGUGGGUAAGGCGCUGGUUCGCUAGCCUGGAGGUCGGGUGUUCGAUCCCUGCAUUGGCCGAGAAAGUUCAUCCAGAUUUUCCGGCGUGAUUUCCCCUUGUCAGUGAUGCAGGACGGAGGGCCUGACAAGGACAGCUGUCUAGUCGUUCGGAUGGGACGAAAAACCGAGGUCCCGUGUACACAUUGGCGUGCACGUAAAAGAUCCCUUGGCAGUUGGAAUUCGAUAUAAGAGUAGGCCAUAGUGCCGCUGCCCGGGCCAAAUUUCCCUCAUAGCACACUGUACGGCGUAUGCCCGUCUUCAUUAGCCCAGUUUAGGAGCAGAACAGUAGGACGUUAAACCCAUUUCAUUUCAUUUCUCAACUAAAGGCAUCACAGACGUCCACGUACUAUCAGGUCCUGGGGCCUGUUUCACGAAAUUUUAACUAAGAUAAAAUCCAAAUUUUAAUAAUUUAAUUGUAUAAUAUUAGAUUGAUUUUAGCGCUUAGCCAAUCAAAAUUGAAGUAUCUACUAAAAUUUAGAUUUUAUCUUUAGUUAAGAUUUCGAGAAACAGGGCCCUGUUUUUUGGGGGGAUAUUUAUGUUGAGGUAAAUCAUGCAGGGUUCACGCCAAAUUUAAACUUUUUACUAGGUUAUGUUUUUAGUGAAAACUAUUAGAGAAUUUGUACAGGACUGAAUAAUUAUCAGUUAAAAAGUUGAUAUUACAACGAUUUCAGUCAAUCUGUUUUCUCUACCAUUCUUGUGUAGCAAAUUACACCUCUACUGCUUAUUUGCUCCUUUUGGUUUUCGUGAAAACAAAUAGAAGACUAACCUGGAAAUUUUUUGUUAAUUAUUUAUUUUGAAUUGUGUGUGUGUAUAUAUACCUAAUUCAUCCAUUUUGCUCUAACAAAUACUUUUGUGCAGCACAUUGCACGUAGGUACUGCUUAUACACUGCUUUGGUUUGGGAGAUUAAACUGUUAUUUUUUUUUAAUUUUGAUUUGAUCUACAGAAAUCCAUUAGAUAUUAUAUAAUUAAUGUACCAGAAAAUCCAUUAGAUAUUAUAUUAUGUAUAAUGUACCAGAAAAUAAACAAAUUUUGAACAUA